Molecule: long non-coding RNA, 897 nt
Organism: Carassius gibelio (silver crucian carp)
Lineage: Eukaryota; Metazoa; Chordata; Actinopteri; Cypriniformes; Cyprinidae
Exons: 3
Source: RefSeq, a predicted model, not a curated record
CGUGUGUGAUUUUUCUGGUCAGUCUUUAGGCCACUAGCACCAAAAAGGAGGCGGACUUUCCGGAAAACACACCUGAUGGGACACCAGGGUGUGUAAGAUGCACUCCUCGGUCCAGGGCAACAGUGGGCCGAACCAAGAUGGCAGAGAAAGAUCAAACAGAGGAAGAGGAAGAAGAGCGCGGCGGCCUGUGGCGCGGAGGCUCAGAGCAGUGCCAUCCAACCAUCCCACAUCAGAGAAGCCAUCAGGCGCUACAGCCACAAGAUCGGCCCGCUCUCCCCCUUCUCAAGUGCCUACCGCAGGAACGGGAUGACUUUCCUGGCCUGCUGAGGUGAGCGAGAGGAGGUCUGGAGGAGACUCUGUCUGCGUCUGUCUUUCCGUGUCUGCAGGUUGGUUUGGACAGGAAUUGCUCUGGACUAACACAAAUCUGGAUUGGACACUUUUUUUUUUUGUUUAGUUGGGGUUCAUUUAAACUCUAGAAGUACGACUUUGCUCUUUUUUUAAAAUGGUUUUAAGUCGUAUUUUUAGUCGGUUACAAAAUGUUCUCAAUAAUUUGAUCUAUUUUGAUGAUGUUUAUUUUUUCGGGGGAGGGGUGGGUAAAAGUUGGGUAAUGAAAACCCAUCUUCUUUUUGAUACUGUAAUACAUUAUUUAUUAAAUUGUAAUAUCUGGCCAUAGUAUUUUUAUACCAUUUCUGUUUGGAUUUAGAUUUAGAAUAAAAAUUAAUAAAUUAAAUUAAAUGUAUUAUUAUUUAUUUAUUAUUUAUUUAUUUAAAGAUUGUCAAUGAAGGAGUCAUGGUAUUACCAUAAAAAAAAAUACAAAAAAAAGUUAAGGGUUUUUAGAUUCUUGUUCUUCUGCUCAUCAAGGCUGCAUUUAUUUGAUCAAAAAUACAGAAAAAACUG